This 301-nucleotide ribosomal RNA is filed under the name uncultured bacterium. Its description in RNAcentral is "partial 16S ribosomal RNA". It matches the Rfam family "Bacterial small subunit ribosomal RNA", at positions 509 to 807 of the family's 1533-position model. The record is from RNAcentral.
CAGUAGCCACGGUAAGACAGAGGUCCCGAGCGUUGUUCGGAUUCAUUGGGCGUAAAGGGUGUGUAGGAGGCCAGGUAAGUCAGGUGUGAAAUCUCAGAGCUUAACUCUGAAACUGCGCUUGAUACUGCUUGGCUAGAGGAUCGGAGGGGGUAACGGAAUUUAUGGUGUAGCAGUGAAAUGCGUAGAUAUCAUAAGGAACACCGGUGGCGAAGGCGGUUACCUGGAAGAUUCCUGACUCUGAAACACGAAAGCCAGGGGAGCAAACGGGAUUAGAUACCCCCGUAGUCCCUGUCUCUUAUAC